UUUCAGGUAGGUUGUGCUUUUGGGUACUCUUCAGUGCUUUUCGUCACUAAAGAGAGUUGUUUUAUCUCUUUUCUUUGGGUUUUUCCUUAAGUUGCCUUGGCAUAUGUGUGUAUGUGUGUGUUACAAUUUUUAAAAUUUAUAGUGAUGCAGGUCAAAUUCCAGGAGACAAAUGCUUUAUUAACCCAAAUACUAGUUAUAAUGAAAUGGAAAUGUUGUGAUCCCAUUAAACCUCAAGUCAUUCAGAUCCUGGCCCUGGGAUCACUCAGAUGACAGGAACCCUCAGCUUGUUUACCCAAAUGAGAAGCCAUGAAGAAAAUCUGCCUGCCUAGGCUGCAUAUUCUCCAAGUGAAGGGC
RNAcentral lists this long non-coding RNA (354 nucleotides) under Homo sapiens (human). RNAcentral describes it as "non-protein coding lnc-ZNF800-5:1". Lineage: Eukaryota; Metazoa; Chordata; Mammalia; Primates; Hominidae. The record is from RNAcentral.